Austrofundulus limnaeus is the source of this 904-nucleotide long non-coding RNA. RefSeq lists it as uncharacterized. The transcript is spliced from 3 exons. The record is from RefSeq and is a predicted model, not a curated record. Lineage: Eukaryota; Metazoa; Chordata; Actinopteri; Cyprinodontiformes; Rivulidae.
GAGGUAUAUUUACUAGAGGAGCUAUCACGUGACUUUGGGUAUGCUAAACACGACUCCAUCUUGACACAGUCAUUCAACCAUUGAACACAGACCCGCAAUGCCAUGUCACUGUGCAGCGUUGUCUUGCAGCAAUCGUAGUGAAAAAUGUUUGUACCUCAUAACAUUUCAUCMUGUCAUCUUUGUUUUUAAAACUAAAUGUGCAAUCCUGUCCUUGCACACAUCCACUCGUGCUACAGCAGGUGAAUACUGUCUUUGACAUCUUCAAUUCAAGAAAUCUACACUGCAGUGUUUUCAAACAUCCAAUAUGCCAGAGCAACUGCUUGGAAGUAGGUACUUAAGUGUGUUUGGCUUCAUUGUCAACAUGGAGAGUUUGUUCAGAUUGGUACCAGAAGUUCUAGCCAAUCAAAGUUUCUUUUUAACUUACAAGUUGAGACAAGAUCCCUUGGAGCUGUUCUUCAGUGCWGUACGCAYAGCGGGUAAGUUAUAAUUUGCUUUCAGUUUCAAGUGUACUUUUGGGCUAUGAUUUGUGAAACAUAGUUGUUAACAGGCCUAGUGAUAUUUAGGAUGUGUGAUUAUGCAGGUGGAUUUAACAACAACCCAAGCUGUCGUCAGUGCAUGGCAAUCUUCUGUAAAAUGAUUGUGCACAGUGGGGUAUCACUAUCUGAAGCUGGAAAUGUUGUCUCCGUGGACAGCACACAGUGUCUCCGGGUCAAUGAUGUCAUGCCACACAAAGCAGCUGAGUCUACUUUUAUGGACAACAAUGUAGAGUCUUACGUCUUACAUCCUUCUCAUGACUUAGUUAUGAGGAACUGAGAGUUCUUUAAUACAGAUAAUAAAACCUUUUCUGUGUCAUUAUCAGGAAUUAAACCAAUGAGUAACGUAGUCAGUAAAGUUUGAUCUAAAA